RNAcentral lists this ribosomal RNA (402 nucleotides) under uncultured bacterium. Its description in RNAcentral is "bacterial SSU rRNA". It matches the Rfam family "Bacterial small subunit ribosomal RNA", at positions 355 to 773 of the family's 1533-position model. The record is from RNAcentral.
UAAGGAAUAUUGGUCAAUGGGCGCAAGCCUGAACCAGCAACGCCGCGUGGAGGAAGAAGGGUUUCGGCUCGUAAACUCCUUUUAGGUGGGAAGAGCAAGGACGGUACCACCUGAAUAAGUCUCGGCUAACUACGUGCCAGCAGCCGCGGUAAAACGUAGGAGACGAGCGUUAUCCGGAUUUACUGGGCGUAAAGCGCGUGCAGGCGGUUAGAUAAGUCACUUGUGAAAGCGCCCGGCUCAACUGGGCGAGGCCGUGUGAGACUGUCUAACUUGAGAGAGGUAGAGGCGAAUGGAAUUCCGGGUGGAGUGGUGAAAUGCGUAGAGAUCCGGAGGAACACCAGUGGCGAAGGCGAUUCGCUGGGCCUACUCUGACGCUCAGACGCGAUAGCAUGGGGAGCGAAC